AUGUAAAUCCAUAAUUAAUGUUGUUAAGACUACAAGGAGAGAUUUCAAUAAUAAUUACUUUUAUAUAGUAGUUCAACUUAACAAGUCUAAAAGCUAUUCAAAUCUUCACCAAUAUCACAUUGAUUCAAAAUUAAUUUUGUUCAUGCUACCAAAAAAAUUAACAUUAUAAACUACCAUUAUAUAGUAGUUUAGCUUAUUAAAUAACUAAAUCAUCACUAAUUUUAUAUGAAUAUAAAUUAAUAUUGAUUAAGCUACUAAAACUAUUGAUAUUAAUG
Molecule: long non-coding RNA, 275 nt
Filed under: Physcomitrium patens
Lineage: Eukaryota; Viridiplantae; Streptophyta; Bryopsida; Funariales; Funariaceae
Description: long non-coding RNA (PPAT_LNC004165)
Source: RNAcentral